Long non-coding RNA from Xenia sp. Carnegie-2017, 848 nucleotides. RefSeq lists it as uncharacterized. The transcript is spliced from 3 exons. The record is from RefSeq and is a predicted model, not a curated record. NCBI's taxonomy places the organism in Eukaryota, Metazoa, Cnidaria, Anthozoa, Malacalcyonacea, Xeniidae.
AAUUUGUUUUGUACUAUAUUUCUUUAAAUUGUCGGCUGGUCAUGGUUUUUGUUAUUAGAACAUGGCGUAAAUGCAACAUGUGAGUUUGCAAAAGUUCGAAUGCAAGAGAUCAACAGGGCUCACUCAGUUUUCGUAAAUAUCUAUCUGAGAAGUCUGGCUGAGAGAAUGGUACUUCGACUAAUUAUGGUCUAACUUUGUUAAUUCAAGAACACAGUACUGGCAGUGAUACUGGUUUUUGUUAGUUGCGGUAUUUUUGGAUUACACCUGGUAAAUGUGUCAAUUCAUGAAGAAAUUCAGACGCUCAAAUGAGUUCUUUUACAAUAAUGUGAAGAGGAAAGAGACCACACAAAGUGAUGAUGCGUAACAGUCAGGCUGCAAGCAAGCUACCAGUUUCAUAAUAUGAUUACCAUCUAUUCAGAAAUACAAAGAAGAUGAGAAGUGGGAGUUUCUGCUGGAAGGGUUUGCUGCAUUAAUGAAAGUUGAAAGGGUUGAAACGAAAAUUGUUGGCAAGUACGUAGCAAUUUCACUUAUUCUUCAGUUAAAGAAUGAAAAACAUUUAAUUGUUUUGCAUCAUGGUGUUUACUGCUUCAGAAUAGCGAAAAGAAAAAAGAUCGCAUUCACUUUCUAUGGAAGUACUAUUGUAAUAUUGCUUUGAACAGCAUAUUUAAUUAUGCAACGAUCUAACUGAAUUUCAAACUUACUGAAAAAUUUAAUUUCUGUGAAUAAGCUCACACUCAACUCUCAUUCCACUGAAAGUUAUGUAGCCAGCCAAAUUGCAACUUUGGUCAUGUUUUGUAACUUCACAUCAAUAUCAUAAUUUGUUUCUUUAGAAAAAAAAAUACUUUCGA